GAGGGGCGCGAGGGGGCGCGGCGCUAGCUGCCCGGCCGUCGCUGCCGUCGUCGCCAUGAGCGUGUCGCUGCGGAAUGCUCAACGGGUCGUGCCGCUGCGCCGGGUCCCGCUCCGCCGCGCCGUCUGCGCCCUGCGGGACGCCCUGGGCGCCUCCCGCUUCGACGUGGGGGUAAUCUGCGCCGGUAAUGGGCUGAUGCGGCGUCUCAACGGCGCCUACCGGCAGCGCCCGGAGCCCACCGACGUCCUCUCUUUCCCCUUCCAUCGGGUGGCGGCGGGGGACCUGCCGCGGCCGAGCAGCCGCGACGAAUACAACCUGGGGGACAUCUUCCUGGGAGUGGAGUACAUCCAGGAGCAGUGCCGCGCCGCCGGGGAGGACUUCGACGGCGUCCUCGUGGUGACGGCAGCCCAUGGGCUAUGCCACUUGCUUGGCUACCAGCACGACACAAAACGCGAGUGGCAACAGAAGGCUGUGUGCACAUGUCCUGCGCCCUCCCCCGCAGAUGUACCGGAAGGAGGCGGAGAUCCUGGAAGAGCUGAACCGGCGAACCGGCUCCAGCCUCAAGCCCCUCACCGCCGGCCUCUUCUGAGGGACCCGCGCCGGGACUGCCCUCCGGCCGCCGCUUCCCGCCCCCGCGCCGAGGGGCCGGGCCGCCGCCGGGGCCGCCCCGGACGUGGCGCGGGGAUGGCGGCGCGGGGUCGCGGCCGCUGCCUCCCGCCACUGCUGCUGGGCCUAGCCGCGCUCGCUCUCCCGCCGCCCGCAGUGGCCCAGCCGCCGCCCGCCGCUCUCCGCGCCGGGCACGGCGCCUCCUCGCUGCCUGCCGCCGCCGCCGCCCCGCGCACACGGUACCUCUUGUAUGAUGUCAAUCCUCCCGAAGGGUUCAACCUUCGCAGAGACGUCUACAUUCGCAUUGCUUCCCUUCUAAAGACCUUGCGGAAAAGUGAAAACUGGGUGUUGGUUCUGCCUCCCUGGGGACGCCUUUAUCACUGGCAGAGCCCCGAUAUCCUCCAGGUCCGGAUCCCUUGGUCUGAGUUCUUUGAUCUCCCAAGCCUCAACAGGAACAUCCCCGUUAUUGAAUAUGAGCAGUUCCUUGCAGAAUCAGGUGGGCCCUUCAUUGAGCAGAUUUAUGUCCUACAAGGAUAUGCAGAGGGAUGGAAAGAAGGAACAUGGGAAGAAAAAGUAGAUGAAAGGCCGUGCAUCGAUCAGCUCAUGUACUCCAAAGACAAGCAUGGCUACUACAGGGGAUGGUUCUGGGGUUAUGAGGAAACGAGGGGCCUAAAUGUCUCCUGUUUGUCUGUCCAAGGAUCUGCCUCUAUCAUGGCUCCCAUCCUUUUGAAGAACACUUCAGCACAGUCAGUGAUGUUAGACAGAGCUGAAAACCUUCUUCAUGACCACUACGGAGGGAAAGAUUAUUGGAAUACCCGUCGGAGCAUGGUGUUUGCUAAACACCUGCGUGUCGUGGGAGACGAGUUCAGAAACAAGUACCUUCAAUCCACGGAUGAGGCAGACAGGACCCAUUACAAGGAGGACUGGACACAGAUGAAGGUUAAGACGGGCACAGCUCUAGGUGGUCCAUACCUUGGGGUUCAUCUCCGAAGGAAAGACUUCAUUUGGGGUCACAGAGAAGAUGUGCCUUCCCUGCAAGGAGCAGCAAAGAAAAUCCGCAGCCUCCUGGAGACACAUCAACUUGGGAAAGUUUUUGUAGCCACUGACGCCGUGGAGGAGGAAGUUGAGCUGCUGAGGAAAUUGCUGCCUGAGAUGGUGAGGUUUGAACCUUCUUGGGAGGAGCUGGAACUCUACAAAGAUGGGGGCUUGGCCGUGAUUGACCAGUGGAUCUGUGCUCAUGCAAGGUAUUUUAUAGGCACCUCAGUGUCAACGUUUUCCUUCCGGAUCCACGAGGAAAGGGAGAUCUUGGGAUUUGAUCCAAAAACAACUUACAACAGAUUUUGUGGGGAAAAAGAGAAAAACUGUGAGCAGCCAACUCACUGGAAAAUCGUGUACUAAAGCAGAGAGAAAUCCAAGGGCUUUGAGACCGCUGAGCUCGAGGGAAUAAGGAAAAACUGCAGAGAAAUACCUCCCUUUGCCCAAACCACAGCUCAGUCCUCUGCCCUCUUCUCAGUGUUCCCUUGACGUUUGAGUUUUGAAGUACAAGCAAUACUCAUCUUCAUCAGACAUUGAUGGGAGUGAGAAAAACGAAGUCAGCCCGAGCCCCAGCUGUCAGCCCGAGCCCCAGCUGUCAGCCCGAGCCCCAGCUGUCAGCCCAGCCAGGAUCGCUGGACAACACCAGACACUGCAACUGAGACCCAAAAGGCAAAACUUUGUCCUGAGACUGAGUCUGCGUGGCUCUCUGAAGCAGGAGAAAACCUUUCCAAAGUUGGGCUGGGAGAUCCAGAUUCCAGAAGGUGAAGCAGACAUUUUUCCUCCAAGUCAGUUCUACCAGAUGACCUUGCUGUGAGCAGACCCUUCUCUUGCUCUUCCCUCUGGGCUUGAGCAGGAGCAUGUGUAAUCCUCCUGCACGGUGCAGUGGCCAUUUCACAGAUGCUCCCAGACAAUUAGGUUCUUCCCUCCCAAGCAACUGCAGCAGAAACUGUGAGGACUCUUGGACAGCAGCAGCUCUGCUGUUCCUACCAGCUGUUUAUUGCUGGUUACUGUCUCUGUGCGACAGCAGAGCCUCUCUGGCUCUGAAGCAGGGAGCCCACCAGGUCAAAGCAGUGCCUUUUCCCACAUCAAACCUUCUUUAGCCUGCGUGCUGUGUAAAGCACUAGCAGCAUUUUACAUGGAAUGUACACCUCAUUAAGAAAAAAUAAAAGCU
Molecule: RNA transcript, 2810 nt
Organism: Colius striatus (speckled mousebird)
Lineage: Eukaryota; Metazoa; Chordata; Aves; Coliiformes; Coliidae
Gene: POFUT2
Gene name: protein O-fucosyltransferase 2
Exons: 12
Source: RefSeq, a predicted model, not a curated record